This 918-nucleotide long non-coding RNA is filed under the name Volvox carteri. RNAcentral describes it as "long non-coding RNA (VCAR_LNC002495)". The record is from RNAcentral. Lineage: Eukaryota; Viridiplantae; Chlorophyta; Chlorophyceae; Chlamydomonadales; Volvocaceae.
AGAGGUACAUUUUUUCCAAACUGCAGAUAGAGAUAUUCCCGAGAUUCUGCCGAGACCGCAUGCAAUUUAGCCUCAUUGCCUAUCUCGGGCGGUAGUUCCAGAGCUGGAGACUCGUGGCCACAAGACUGUUACAGUGCAGCUAUAUACAUUGCGAUUAUUAUGGGAUACAUCUAUUCAGGCCAAUUUAUAGUUCUCUUCAUGCUCUGUACCAGCCUGUUUACAUGGCCAGCGCUAUGUUACGCUCAGGUUCAAGACGACCUAAUCACUGUGUAUAAUCAAAGCCUACCCAUAUUACUCGACGGCAUAUCCAACUACAAAUCGUAGCGCCUACGCGUCCACGUAUUUGCUUUGGGCAAAGCUGGGUUUUCCAGUAGCUUUGGGCACCAGCAGCAGCUCGGCGCUCCCCAUCGCGGUCGCAAUCCAAUUGGAAUCUUCCAGCAGACUCGUGUCUAUCGGCCACGAAGGCAUCGUCAAAAGUGAGUCGCAUUUCCUUCACAAAACGUUGCACGUACGUAGCCUUACACGGACGUAGUCUUGCUGCUUGCGUUUCAGUCAAGUUUCCAAACUCUCGCGUCUUGCAAUCGACUUUUCCCAGGCCCAUUUACAUUUUUGGUCCCGUCUGAGUCUCUCACAACAAAACCCGCCCACAUGACUCACCAUAACCUGUGCCCCAUCGCCUCGCCCUCGCUUGAUUGGAGGCUUUCCCAAACCCACAACCCGCCCACCUGCCGGACACCGUCCUCCCGCCCGAUCGUCGUCAGCCUGUUGCAACGAAACUGACGGUUGGGAUACGCUGGUGCUCAACUCCUUCAAAUGGCUCGCGGCCGCCAACACGGCCAACCGCAGCACUCUUCGUCUGGCGGCUGCGGCAUCCAUGAAGUGGUGGAGCAACCCCGCGCUAGGCUUCAUCGCACAGGC